AUGCUAACAGAUCGUGAGAACCAGUCAAUCCUGAUCACCGGAGAAUCUGGUGCAGGGAAGACUGUGAACACAAAGCGUGUCAUCCAGUACUUUGCAACAAUUGCAGCAAGUGGGGAGAAGAAAAAGGAGGAGCAGUCUGGCAAAAUGCAGGGAACGCUUGAGGAUCAAAUCAUCAGCGCCAACCCACUGCUGGAGGCCUUUGGAAAUGCCAAGACUGUGAGGAACGACAACUCCUCACGCUUUGGCAAAUUCAUUCGAAUCCACUUUGGUGCCACAGGCAAACUGGCUUCUGCUGACAUUGAAACAUAUCUGCUGGAGAAGUCCAGAGUCACUUUCCAGCUCAAGGCAGAAAGAAGCUACCACAUAUUUUAUCAAAUCAUGUCCAACAAGAAGCCAGAGCUAAUUGACAUGCUCCUCAUUACCACCAACCCAUAUGACUACCAAUUUGUGAGUCAAGGUGAGAUCACAGUUGCCAGUAUUAAUGACCAGGAGGAGCUGGUGGCUACGGAUAGUGCCAUUGACAUCCUGGGCUUCACUGCUGAUGAGAAAACAGCCAUUUACAAGCUGACGGGGGCUGUCAUGCACUAUGGGAACCUGAAGUUUAAGCAGAAGCAGCGUGAGGAGCAGGCAGAGCCCGAUGGCACAGAAGUUGCUGACAAGGCUGCCUAUUUGAUGGGUCUGAACUCAGCAGACCUGCUCAAGGCCCUCUGCUACCCUCGAGUCAAGGUUGGGAAUGAGUAUGUGACCAAGGGUCAAACUGUGCAGCAGGUGAACAAUUCAGUGGGUGCUCUGGCAAAGGCUGUCUAUGAGAAGAUGUUCUUGUGGAUGGUUGUUCGCAUCAACCAACAGCUGGAUACCAAGCAACCCAGACAGUACUUCAUUGGUGUCCUUGACAUUGCUGGCUUCGAGAUCUUUGAUUUCAACAGCCUGGAGCAGCUGUGCAUCAACUUCACCAAUGAGAAACUGCAACAGUUCUUCAACCACCACAUGUUCGUGCUGGAGCAAGAGGAGUACAAGAAGGAAGGAAUUGAAUGGGAGUUCAUUGAUUUUGGGAUGGACCUGGCUGCCUGCAUUGAGCUCAUUGAAAAACCCAUGGGCAUCUUCUCCAUCCUGGAAGAGGAGUGCAUGUUCCCCAAGGCAACUGACACCUCUUUCAAGAACAAGCUCUAUGACCAGCAUCUGGGCAAGUCCAGCAACUUCCAGAAGCCCAAACCUACUAAAGGGAAGGCUGAGGCCCACUUCUCCCUGGUGCGCUAUGCUGGCACAGUGGACUACAACAUCUCUGGCUGGCUUGAAAAGAACAAGGAUCCCCUAAAUGAAACUGUCAUUGGGCUGUAUCAGAAAUCAUCUGUGAAGACACUGGCCUUACUGUUUGCCUCUGCUGGUGGAGAGGCAGAGGCUAGUGGUGGUGGUGGCAAGAAAGGUGGCAAGAAGAAGGGUUCUUCAUUCCAGACUGUCUCAGCUCUUUUCCGGGAGAACCUAAACAAGCUCAUGACCAAUCUACGGAGCACUCACCCCCAUUUUGUCCGUUGCAUCAUCCCAAAUGAAACAAAAACACCUGGUGCCAUGGAGCAUGAACUGGUACUUCACCAGCUGCGGUGUAAUGGUGUGCUGGAAGGCAUCAGAAUUUGCAGGAAAGGUUUCCCCAGCAGAGUUCUCUAUGCUGACUUCAAACAGAGGUAAAAGCUAUGA
This is an RNA transcript of Antrostomus carolinensis (chuck-will's-widow), 1692 nucleotides long. It is a transcript of the gene named myosin heavy chain, skeletal muscle, adult-like, with no coding region annotated. The record is from RefSeq and is a predicted model, not a curated record. The transcript has 15 exons. Lineage: Eukaryota; Metazoa; Chordata; Aves; Caprimulgiformes; Caprimulgidae.